GGACGCUGUCUGGGAAGUCCUCAACCCUUUUGCUGCAGCUUUUGUUGAUUUUAUAAACACUGAUGGCUAUACAAAUGCGGUGCCCCUUCAUCCACAUAAUGCUGAUGAAAACCAGUGAAAGACCCAGAUUGUCCCUGCACUGCUUGGCACACCCUAUAUGUCAAAGCUCUGCUGGGCUUCCUCGAAAGUGGACCAAGCGUUCUAUUCCAACAUAUGGCAACAAACCAGGACAAUCAAAAGAGUGCAAUAAUUGCCACUUCCCAUUCUGCCUAUGACUCUGUCUCCAUGAGGCUCAGUUAUGAGUCUUAUGUCUGGGCUUAAGACAUGACGAAUGCAAAUAACCUCCUGUCUUUCUCUUUACUUCUUCCAACACAUAGACAUUUAAACUCUUAUAAUUAAUUUACUGAAAUAGAUGCCUCAUAUUCAGAUAAUGCCAGAAUUCAAGGCAUUGCUUACCUGUGAAGCAAAAUAGGCAGUCAAGAUGGCUGUGAGAGAGGAAAAGACAUUCCUCUUCCAAUGACUG
This 523-nucleotide long non-coding RNA is filed under the name Homo sapiens (human). Its description in RNAcentral is "HSALNT0107970". Lineage: Eukaryota; Metazoa; Chordata; Mammalia; Primates; Hominidae. The record is from RNAcentral.